Miniopterus natalensis is the source of this 1494-nucleotide non-coding RNA. NCBI's taxonomy places the organism in Eukaryota, Metazoa, Chordata, Mammalia, Chiroptera, Miniopteridae. The record is from RefSeq and is a predicted model, not a curated record.
UACCCUUGCUUGUUUCCAAUACUUAUUUCUUCCAAUGGAUUUGAGUCACAAUCUGGUAUCAUUUCCUUUCAGCCUUUGGGACGGUCUUUAACGUUUCUUUUCUGUUAGUUUGGCUAGCAAUACAUUUCCUGUCUUUAUUUUGAAGGGUAGUUUUGCUGGAUGUAGCAUUCUUGACUGACAGUUCCUUGUCUUCCCAUUCUUCAAAUAAGUCCUUCAUUGACUUCUGACCUCCACUGUUUCUGAUGAGAAGUCAACUGUUAAUUGUAUUGCUCCGCUAUGUGAGAUAAACCGUAUUUUCCUGUUUUCAAGAUUUUCCCAACAGUUUCACUAUAGUGUCUAGGUGUGGUUCUCUUCGUGUUUAUCCUGGGUUUUAUGGAAAUUGUUGGGUUUGUAGGUUGACCUUUAUCAUCAAACUCGGGAAGUUUCCGCUAUUAUCCUCCCAAAUAUUUCUGUGCCCCGCUCCCUGACUCCCAUUACCUCUUGGUGUGCUCAAUGCCGGCCCACAGGGGUCAGUGUGAAGCUUGCCCAUAAUGAAACAUGGCCCUCUCUUUUAGGAGCAUUUACAUUUUUUUCUGAUUCCACUUAAUUUUGAAAACUUAGUUCACUGGCUAUUACUUAAAAACAUGGUAUUUAUUAUAUUCUCUCAAAAACAGGGAGAAUAAUAUUUAGGUUUUUGUUUUGCAUAUAUAGGAACUUAAGAGAUGACAAAAGUGAAGCUGUAAUAAAAGACUGGAUGAAAUGGGAGAAAACGGUUUCCAGGUGCAAAGUUCUGGCGAUGGACACAUCGUGAUUUAUUUAGACUCUAUUUUGAGCUUAGACCAUUUGUUGAAAGACAUGCAGCUUCUCAGUAGCGCAUCUGGGCAGAAACAGUCUCUGGCUUCAUCUCCGCACCACCCCCUGCGCUGCCAUGACUGCAGUCACGCCAUCCUCUGGCUUCAUCUCGGCCCUCAUGGACUUUCAAACCCAACAUAACCUCCCUCCCCAAAGAUACUCUGCUGCAGUCCCGAGCGCAUUUCUACAGUUGCUGUUGGUUAUAAACUGCCAUCUUUUAAAGAGGUCAUUUUAUCAUUAGAGUUCUCUGUCGUCAAUACUGUUAAUUUCUGCUUGAAACUCUCCCUGGUGGCACAGCUCUCCUGACAGGGCUUCACUACGUCCAUCCCUCCUCCUGUCUCUAAUAUAGAUUUCCUACGCCGCCUCCCUCAGGAAGCUAAUAUUUCUCCUAAUUUAAAUCACCAUCUUUAUGUGGUGCCUCACUUUUUGUCGUCACAUGGACACUCUGGUACCGCUUCUCUAACUCCGACAGAUCCAUCCCUUUAAUAUCACAUCAUAUUGGCAGGAGGCCAACUGAAUUCGGCACUUUCAGCUAAGUAAGGGCAGAACCUGAGACUUAGCACCUGACGUACCCUUGCCAAACACUGGGCAGGCCUAGAAUAAAACAGCUGAAACGUCUGUUGACUUGACAUGGAGAAAGAACUAAAUUUUGAGCAAGUCAUA